RNAcentral lists this transfer RNA (70 nucleotides) under Heterocephalus glaber (naked mole-rat). It matches the Rfam family "tRNA". From Rfam's summary of the family: Transfer RNA (tRNA) molecules are approximately 80 nucleotides in length. Their secondary structure includes four short double-helical elements and three loops (D, anti-codon, and T loops). Further hydrogen bonds mediate the characteristic L-shaped molecular structure. tRNAs have two regions of fundamental functional importance: the anti-codon, which is responsible for specific mRNA codon recognition, and the 3' end, to which the tRNAs corresponding amino acid is attached (by aminoacyl-tRNA synthetases). tRNAs cope with the degeneracy of the genetic code in two manners: having more than one tRNA (with a specific anti-codon) for a particular amino acid; and 'wobble' base-pairing, i.e. permitting non-standard base-pairing at the 3rd anti-codon position. Lineage: Eukaryota; Metazoa; Chordata; Mammalia; Rodentia; Bathyergidae. The record is from Rfam by way of RNAcentral.
GGGGAUUUAGCUCAGUGGUUCCAGCAUCUGCCUUACAAGCACAAGGUCCCAAGUUCGAUCCCUGGUACCA